RNAcentral lists this ribosomal RNA (477 nucleotides) under uncultured bacterium. RNAcentral describes it as "partial 16S ribosomal RNA". It matches the Rfam family "Bacterial small subunit ribosomal RNA", at positions 28 to 507 of the family's 1533-position model. The record is from RNAcentral.
GAUUAACGCUGGCGGCGUGCAUAACACAUGCAAGUCGUACGAUGAAACUUAACUGAUUUCUUCGGAAUGAUUUUAAGUGGAUUAGUGGCGGACGGGUGAGUAACGCGUGAGUAACCUGCCUUGGAGAAGGGGAUAGCCUUUGGAAACGAAGAAUAAUACCCUAUGAUAUGAUCAUAUCUCAUGAUAUUAUCAUCAAAGAUUUAUCGCUCUAAGAUGGACUUGCGUCUGAUUAGUUAGUUGGUGAGGUAACAGCUCACCAAGGCAGCGAUCAGUAGCCGGCUUGAGAGAGUGUACAGCCACAUUGGGACUGAGACACGGCCCAGACUCCUACGGGAGGCAGCAGUGGGGAAUUUUGCACAAUGGGGGAAACCCUGAGGCAGCGACGCCGCGUGAUUGAGAAGGCCUUCGGGUUGUAAAAAUCUUUUGUAUGGGAAGAAAAUGACAGUACCAUACGAAUAAGGACCGGCUAAUUACGUG